CCUACGUGCGGCAGCAGUGGGGAAUAUUGCGCAAUGGGCGAAAGCCUGACGCAGCGACGCCGCGUGAGGGAUGAAGGUCUUCGGAUCGUAAACCUCUGUCAGCAGGGAAGAACGGUCACUGUGCUAAUCAGCAGUGAAUUGACGGUACCUGCAAAGGAAGCACCGGCUAACUCCGUGCCAGCAGCCGCGGUAAUACGGAGGGUGCGAGCGUUAAUCGGAAUUACUGGGCGUAAAGCGCUCGUAGGCGGUAUGUUAAGUCAAGGGUGAAAUCCCCGGGCUCAACGUGGGAACUGCCUUUGAAACUGGGAGAAGUGAGUGUGUUAGAGGAUAGUGGAAUUCCAGGUGUAGGAGUGAAAUCCGUAGAUAUCUGGAGGAACAUCAGUGGCGAAGGCGACUAUCUGGCACAUAACUGACGCUGAGGAGCGAAAGCGUGGGUAGCAAACAGGAUUAGAUACCCCAGUAGUC
Molecule: ribosomal RNA, 465 nt
Filed under: uncultured bacterium
Lineage: Bacteria
Description: partial 16S ribosomal RNA
Rfam family: Bacterial small subunit ribosomal RNA
Source: RNAcentral